Molecule: long non-coding RNA, 374 nt
Organism: Solea solea (common sole)
Lineage: Eukaryota; Metazoa; Chordata; Actinopteri; Pleuronectiformes; Soleidae
Exons: 4
Source: RefSeq, a predicted model, not a curated record
GAGAGUACCUGUAUAAAUGAAGCUUAAACCAAAAAAAUGUCAACGGUGUGUGACACCUGCGCUCAUGCAUGUUGCUCAUACAUAAAACAAAUCGCAAUUACAGAGAAAAGACAAAGUCUGUUAGUGAUUCCACAGGAGAGCUCUGCUGAAAUGCUACUAAGCUGCAGAUGUACCAGCCAAAUUAUUCCAGAGGGGAAUUACCAGGCCAUAAAUCCAGAUGUCAAGAGGAUGCCUGUAGCCUAUUUCACGCCAGAACUUCUCAUCUUUGUGCAGCCAUACAGCCAGACAUUGUGGCCUAAUCUUGCCGCAAUGUCGCUUGGUGACACAGGAUGGAAACACUGCUAUACCGAGAAAGAGGGCAAUUCCUAAAGGUA